CUCGUAGGCGGUUUGUCGCGUCGGGAGUGAAAACCUACAGCUUAACUGUGGGCUUGCUUUCGAUACGGGCAGACUAGAGGUAUGCAGGGGAGAACGGAAUUCCUGGUGUAGCGGUGAAAUGCGCAGAUAUCAGGAGGAACACCGGUGGCGAAGGCGGUUCUCUGGGCAUGAUCUGACGCUGAGGAGCGAAAGUGUGGGGAGCGAACA
RNAcentral lists this ribosomal RNA (207 nucleotides) under uncultured bacterium. RNAcentral's name for it is "partial 16S ribosomal RNA". It matches the Rfam family "Bacterial small subunit ribosomal RNA", at positions 568 to 774 of the family's 1533-position model. The record is from RNAcentral.